UACGUAGGUGGCAAGCGUUGUCCGGAUUUAUUGGGUUUAAAGGGUGCGUAGGCGGCCCUGUAAGUCAGUGGUGAAAUAUCGCAGCUUAACUGUGAGGGUGCCAUUGAUACUGCAGGGCUUGAGUAAAGUCGAGGUAGGCGGAAUUGACGGUGUAGCGGUGAAAUGCUUAGAUAUCGUCAAGAACACCGAUAGUGAAGACAGCUUACUAGGCUUUAACUGACGCUGAGGCACGAAAGUGUGGGGAUCAAACAGG
RNAcentral lists this ribosomal RNA (253 nucleotides) under uncultured Ohtaekwangia sp. RNAcentral describes it as "partial 16S ribosomal RNA". It matches the Rfam family "Bacterial small subunit ribosomal RNA", at positions 524 to 776 of the family's 1533-position model. The record is from RNAcentral. Lineage: Bacteria; Pseudomonadati; Bacteroidota; Cytophagia; Cytophagales; Fulvivirgaceae.